RNAcentral lists this transfer RNA (66 nucleotides) under Dorytomus tortrix. Its description in RNAcentral is "tRNA-Ser". The record is from RNAcentral. Lineage: Eukaryota; Metazoa; Arthropoda; Insecta; Coleoptera; Erirhinidae.
GAACCAAGAGAUUCAGAAAGGAGCUUCUAACUCCUUUAAGAGCGGUGGAACUCCGUUUAUGGUUCU